Molecule: transfer RNA, 73 nt
Filed under: Marmota marmota marmota (Alpine marmot)
Lineage: Eukaryota; Metazoa; Chordata; Mammalia; Rodentia; Sciuridae
Also listed under: 1 other name
Rfam family: tRNA
About the family: Transfer RNA (tRNA) molecules are approximately 80 nucleotides in length. Their secondary structure includes four short double-helical elements and three loops (D, anti-codon, and T loops).
Source: Rfam by way of RNAcentral
GAGGAUAUAGCCCAGUUGAUAGGGUACUUGCCUCGAAUGCACGAGGCCUUGGGUUCAAUCCCCAACACCACCA